UCUAAGGGCGUGUUUUACAACAAUAUUUCGGAAGCUAACGCCUUUCAGGCGAGCGGUUCGGAUAUAUUGUGCCGUCAUCACCUCUGCCAUCGAGGCACGCGUCAUGCGCGCAAUAUACCCCAUGCCGUAAAGUGCGAUCGUAAUCACCGGCAAUAGGAAGUUUUCUAU
RNAcentral lists this non-coding RNA (168 nucleotides) under marine eukaryotic metagenome. Its description in RNAcentral is "Ruegeria cis52 sRNA". It matches the Rfam family "Ruegeria cis52 sRNA". Rfam says of the family: Cis-encoded. Targets oligo/dipeptide ABC transporter. The record is from RNAcentral.